GCCCGGGCCCCAAGCGGCCUCCGGAGCCGUGUGCGCAGGUUCGAAUCCUGCCGGGGGCACCA
RNAcentral lists this transfer RNA (62 nucleotides) under Streptomyces coeruleorubidus. RNAcentral describes it as "tRNA-Ser". Lineage: Bacteria; Bacillati; Actinomycetota; Actinomycetes; Kitasatosporales; Streptomycetaceae. The record is from RNAcentral.